UAAAGAAUGCUGUUGUUACUGUUCCUGCUUAUUUCAAUGACUCGCAGCGUCAAGCUACAAUAGACGCUGGUGUCAUUGUUGGCCUAAAUGUAAUGUGUAUUAUAAAUGAGCCCACUGCAGCUGCUAUUGUUUAUGGGCUUGACAAGAAAGCCAGUAGUUUUGGUAGGAAGAAUGUGCUUAUAUUUGAUCUAGGUGGUGGCACUUUUGAUGUUUCUCUUCUUACCAUUGAAAAGGGUACUUUUGAGGUGAAAUCCACAGCUGGAGAUGCCCAUUUAGGAGGGGAAGAUUUUGACAAU
This 296-nucleotide unclassified non-coding RNA is filed under the name Hevea brasiliensis (rubber tree). Lineage: Eukaryota; Viridiplantae; Streptophyta; Magnoliopsida; Malpighiales; Euphorbiaceae. The record is from RNAcentral.